RNAcentral lists this small RNA (19 nucleotides) under Arabidopsis thaliana (thale cress). Its description in RNAcentral is "ATSL011540". Lineage: Eukaryota; Viridiplantae; Streptophyta; Magnoliopsida; Brassicales; Brassicaceae. The record is from RNAcentral.
ACAAAAUACCAAAAAAAAA